CCUACGGGGGGCAGCAGUAGGGAAUCUUCCACAAUGGACGAAAGUCUGAUGGAGCAACGCCGCGUGAGUGAAGAAGGGUUUCGGCUCGUAAAGCUCUGUUGGUAGUGAAGAAAGAUAGAGGUAGUAACUGGCCUUUAUUUGACGGUAAUUACUUAGAAAGUCACGGCUAACUACGUGCCAGCAGCCGCGGUAAUACGGAGGGGGCAAGCGUUUUCCGGACUUAUUGGGCGUAAAGCGAGUGCAGGCGGUUAAAAAAAUU
Molecule: ribosomal RNA, 259 nt
Filed under: uncultured bacterium
Lineage: Bacteria
Description: partial 16S ribosomal RNA
Rfam family: Bacterial small subunit ribosomal RNA
Source: RNAcentral